GUUUCCGCCGGGAGGGGGGCUGCAGGCCGCGGGCCGUGUCUGACCUGAAUUCUUACACUUACAGGAAAUUAGAGCCCUUGGAAGCAGGUGCGCUGGGAUCCUAACACUCGGGUGGCCGAGAGGGCGAUGUGGCUGAGGCAACAGGGAAAGGGGGCUGGACUGGGCUGGGGGCUGGAGGAGGGGCCAGUCCCGAGGGGACGGGGCUCCAACCUCACCUUCCUGCUGUCGUGGAGAAGAAAAGUGGUAAUGACCGCUACUGUGCACUGGGCUCUCGCUCUGUGCUUUGCUUGUGUUUGCUCAGUUAAUCCUCCCAACAUGCCUCUAAGCCACCUAUGGGCAACAAGGUCUCCAAGGAAACUCCAGAACAUUCUGUGGGUUUCAGUGGUUACCUGCUGAGGCGGCAUUGGGCAUGGAGCAUCCGAGGGUCCAAGGGUUCUUCUCAGCCACCGUCAACAACCCCAGCUGCUACCAAGGUGCAAGAACACACAGGCUGCUGUGAAAGGACUGUAGGGGGCAAGGGCAGAGGAAGGGGCCAGCCAGGAGGCUUCCAAAAUAAUCCAGGCAGGAGAGGAUGGUGGCCUGGACAAGGGUGGCAGGUGGAGGAAACUGGCUGGAUUCCAGAAAUUCUCCCAUUUCGGCACCCAGACUCCAUGCAGAGUAGAAAUGGAUGCUCUUGGCUGGGUGCGGGGGCUUGUGCCUGUCAUCCCAGCACUUUGGGAGGCUGAGGCAGGUGAAUCAUGAAGUCAGGAGAUCGAGACCAUCCUGGCUAAUACAGUGAAACCCUGUCUCUACUAAAAAUACAAAAAAUUAGCCGGGUGUGGUGGCACGCGCCUGUAGUCCCAGCUACUCAAGAGGCUGAGGCAGGAGAAUCGCUUGAACCAGGGAGGCGGAGGUUGCAGUGAGCUGAGAUCAGGCCACUGCACUCCAGCCUGGGUGACAGAGAGAGACUCUGUCUCAAAAAAAAAAAAAAAAAGAUGCUCUUGAAUUUGAGUUCUGAAAUUUUGCAUCCUGUUCCCCAUGUGGCGGCCCAGCCAUUUUUCCCUUAGGGUGAGUGGGCCUGUGAAACCAGGAGAGCGCUGCUGUGCGUCUAGUCGUCGGGGGCAUAUUGAUCGAUUUAUUUGACCCUCUGCAGGAGGUGUGCUGAAUGUCCCAUUCCCCGGUGCUGCCAGCUCCUCAGAGCUCUGUAGGUUACCCCGUGAGACCUUCUCCCUGCACGCCUUUUUUUCUCUAAUAGAAAUACCUGCUACCUGUUGCCUUCUUCCCUGCAGGAUCACAAGCGCUUGCCCAGUGCCUGGCAUAGAGGCGGCCAUAGCUGGACUCCUACCCUGUUCCAGAUGAGGAAACUGCCGCUCAGAGACGGCAGCCGACCCAGCCAAGGCCGCACAGCCAGGAUUCAAAGCCAUACCGCUCAGCUCCUGCCUCCAGGCUCUGCCUUUGCAUGUGGCUUCUCCUGGCUCCUGGACCCUUCCCCGGCCCUCCCAGCUGGCUGUGCUGUGACAGUGGGCGGGGGAGUGCCAAGGCUCUGCCCUGCCCCCCGCCCUUGGCAUCUCCGGUCAAUAUGGCACUCACAGCUCCCUGGGCAUGGACCCCCUCCUGCCAUCCCCACUUAAAGUGAUACUUUAAUAAAUUAUGCUUUUAUGUUAUUACACGUGGAGCUAUAAAAGCAGAGAGUGUGCGGCCGGGCUGAGGUAAGGCGCCCGCGACUUUCCAAUUUCCUGGUCUGGCCUGGCUCUGCUCCGCACCGUGAAUUUUUCAUUAAUGUGCACAGGUGACGCCACGGGGCAGCCGCAGGCCAGUCAUAGUUACAGAGGCAAUGGACACAUUGAAGAGAGGAAAGAAAACAAACACGACCUAGAAUCUACGGGGAAGGAAGCCUUCUAGACUCCAGACCUUCCGUGUCCAGAAGUGUCAGUCUUCACAUCUGUGAGGUGGGGCCAAGGAGUCCUGCCCUGCCAUGCUGGGUGUUGACUUCGGGGAAGGGGCCUUGGGAUGUCUAUGAGGAUGCAGCUGCUGCCUUCUGUCUUGGCAGAGACCAUGGCCACCCCAGGACACCGUGUUUGGUCCCCGCUGUGCUAAGUCUCCUCCAGGCACCAGCCAGGCAUCAGUGGAGCACAGCGGAAAUGGGUCCAAAGCCACCCACAGAGGCUCUGUGUGGUUCUUGGAUAAUUCUGGAAGGCUCUAGAGAAGGCAACAAGAAGGCAGGAACCCAGGGCCAGAAACUGGACAACUUGUGUGUGUUUGUCUGUAAAGUGGGGCUAGGAAUCCGCGUGGGGGUCAAAUGAGAACAGCUCUGCCUCCCAGCGCACAGUCCCGCGUCGAGGUCAGAGAGCCUCUUAGGCCCUGGCUCUUUUGGGAAAUCAUCCCAGGGGCUAAAGACAAAACUGAAGUUGAAAUAAACAUGGGGGUCCAAACACUCCAGAAUUCUGAGUGAGGGAAUCUCCUCCCAGGCUUCCACGCCAGGCCCGAAUGCAAACAAGAGGCAGCAGGGGUGGCUUGGGCCCCUCACACAGAAUUAGUGAGAUUAGCUGAGAACCAGAGCCCAGCAGAUGUCCCCUCUCUGGACUCGGUGACUCACUUGCCUCCCUGGUUGAGAAUCGUAUCCGGCUGGGCCUGAGCUGUCCUGGCUGGCGGGGAGCUGGACGCAGGGCAGAGGUCGGGGUAAACACCCGUGCUCCAGGCGGGAGGUCGGGAUGGGGGUGGUGACAAGGAGGACAACAUUUCCACUCAGCAGAAAGAAGAGCCUGAGCUGCCCUAGAGCCGGAGGCGCUGCCUGGAGAGGUCGUGAGGACCCGGUCCCAGAGGUGUGCAAGCUGGGUACCCUUUGAAGACUAUAGGAGGAUUCCAGUUGGCGCUGGGAGUACUCCAGGCAGGAUGCCAGUUCAGGUCCUUCGUGCAUGAGACUCUCCCAGAGAGGCAGGCAAACAUUUUCUGGGAAGGGCCAGAUAGUAAAUAUUUCAGGUUUUGCGGGUCAUCCUGCUAUCUCUGUUGCAACUGCUCAACUCUGCCACUGUAGCUUGGAAGCAGCUACAGACAAUACAUAAAUGAAUGGAUGUGGG
RNAcentral lists this long non-coding RNA (3056 nucleotides) under Homo sapiens (human). RNAcentral's name for it is "HSALNT0003008". The record is from RNAcentral. Lineage: Eukaryota; Metazoa; Chordata; Mammalia; Primates; Hominidae.